UUAUACCAAAAUUUUCUUAAGACAGAGACCUACAAUUUCUAUGUUUUGACCCAGACUUAUUUCUUAGGGCAAAGUAGUUGAAAUUCUAGAGUAAUUUGGAAUUGCAAAAUUGGAAUUUUUGGAAUUCCUGCAAUCAGCCUGUGAUCUUCGUGUAGUAAACAGGGCAUAUCUCCCUCUGUACGUCUCUAAUUGAGGUGCUACAAUUUGCUUUGAAAA
Molecule: unclassified non-coding RNA, 216 nt
Filed under: Hevea brasiliensis (rubber tree)
Lineage: Eukaryota; Viridiplantae; Streptophyta; Magnoliopsida; Malpighiales; Euphorbiaceae
Source: RNAcentral